AGGCCUAACACAUGCAAGUCGAGCGGAAACGACUUAACUGAACCUUCGGGGAACGUUAAGGGCGUCGAGCGGCGGACGGGUGAGUAAUGCCUGGGAAAUUGCCCUGAUGUGGGGGGAUAACCAUUGGAAACGAUGGCUAAUACCGCAUAAUGCCUUCGGGGCCAAAGAGGGGGACCUUCGGGCCUCUCGCGUCAGGAUAUGCCCAGGUGGGAUUAGCUAGUUGGUGAGGUAAGGGCUCACCAAGGCGACGAUCCCUAGCUGGUCUGAGAGGAUGAUCAGCCACACUGGAACUGAGACACGGUCCAGACUCCUACGGGAGGCAGCAGUGGGGAAUAUUGCACAAUGGGCGCAAGCCUGAUGCAUUUUGCCAUGCCGCGUGUAUGAAGAAGGCCUUCGGGUUGUAAAGUACUUUCAGUCGUGAGGAAGGUAGUGUAGUUAAUAGCUGCAUUGCUUGACGUUAGCGACAGAAGAAGCACCGGCUAACUCCGUG
Molecule: ribosomal RNA, 490 nt
Filed under: uncultured Vibrio sp.
Lineage: Bacteria; Pseudomonadati; Pseudomonadota; Gammaproteobacteria; Vibrionales; Vibrionaceae
Description: bacterial SSU rRNA
Rfam family: Bacterial small subunit ribosomal RNA
Source: RNAcentral